Molecule: ribosomal RNA, 848 nt
Filed under: Prostenomphalia carpathica
Lineage: Eukaryota; Metazoa; Mollusca; Gastropoda; Stylommatophora; Hygromiidae
Description: partial 16S ribosomal RNA
Source: RNAcentral
GUCUUCUAUAAUGUAUUUAGAUAUUAUUUCACGAAACCCAGCGAGCUAAAUUUAAAACAUUUUAGUUAUAUAAAAUCUAAUGUAGCAAUAUUAACCUAUUAUGUAAAUUUAGGGGUGAAAGGCCUAACAAGUUGGGAGAUAUCUUGAUAUUUAGGAGAUAUAUUAAGUAUUUAGGCAACCUAACAAUGGUAAGGUUUUUAGGUAGUAUUAUUUUAUAUUUAGAUAUUAUUGCGUUUUUAAAUAUUCUAGUAUAAAUAUAGCAUAAUAAAUUACGAAUUAAAUAUAAACAAUUACUUUAUUGUUCUGCACAAAUAAUUUCAGGAAUAAAAAUGAAAACAGUAGUAUUCGUAAUAAUUUUAUUUAAGGAACUCGGCAAAAAUAUACUCGACUGUUUAUCAAAAACAUGCCUUAUGAUCUAAUAUAAGGUUAGCCCUGCUCAAUGAGGUUUAAAUAGCCGCAGUACCUUGACUGUGCAAAGGUAGCAUAAUCAUUUGGCUUAUAAUUGAAGUCUAGUAUGAAAGGGAUUACGGGUAUUAGCUGUCUUAAAUAUAUUUGUAGAACUUACUUAUUAAGUGCAAAUACUUAAACAUAUAAAAUAGACGAGAAGACCCUAGAAAUUUUUAUAAAUAAUUAUUAUUCAAUUUUUGUUGGGGCGACAAAGUAACAAAUAAACUUACUUCGUUUAUAUAAAACUAUUUAGUAAUAUAAUAAAAUUACUCUAGGGAUAACAGCAUAAUAUUUUAAAAAGUUUGUGACCUCGAUGUUGGAUUAGGAAAAGUCUAGUCUAAAAGAAUAGAUAAGGGCUCUGUUCGAGCUAUAUACACCUACAUGAUCUGAGUUCAGACCGG